UACGUAGGGGGGCAAGCGUUGUCCGGAUUUAUUGGGCGUAAAGAGCGUGUAGGCGGCCAGACAGGUCCGUUGUGAAAACUCGAGGCUCAACCUCGAGAUGUCGAUGGAAACCGUCUGGCUAGAGUCCGGAAGAGGAGUGUGGAAUUCCUGGUGUAGCGGUGAAAUGCGCAGAUAUCAGGAAGAACACCUAUGGCGAAGGCAGCACUCUGGGACGGUACUGACGCUGAGACGCGAAAGCGUGGGGAGCAAACAGG
Molecule: ribosomal RNA, 254 nt
Filed under: uncultured bacterium
Lineage: Bacteria
Description: partial 16S ribosomal RNA
Rfam family: Bacterial small subunit ribosomal RNA
Source: RNAcentral